RNAcentral lists this ribosomal RNA (492 nucleotides) under uncultured bacterium. RNAcentral describes it as "partial 16S ribosomal RNA". It matches the Rfam family "Bacterial small subunit ribosomal RNA", at positions 29 to 507 of the family's 1533-position model. The record is from RNAcentral.
AGUGAACGCUGGCGGUAGGCCUAACACAUGCAAGUCGAACGGCAGCACAGUAAGAGCUUGUUCUUACGGGUGGCGAGUGGCGGACGGGUGAGGAAUACAUCGGAAUCUACUUUUUCGUGGGGGAUAACGGAGGGAAACUGACGCUAAUACCGCAUACGACCUACGGGUGAAAGCAGGGGAUCUUCGGACCUUGCGCGAUUGAAUGAGCCGAUGUCGGAUUAGCUAGUUGGCGGGGUAAAGGCUCACCAAGGCGACGAUCCGUAGCUGGUCUGAGAGGAUGAUCGGCCACACUGGAACUGAGACACGGUCCAGACUCCUACGGGAGGCAGCAGUGGGGAAUAUUGGACAAUGGGCGAAAGCCUGAUCCAGCCAUACCGCGUGGGUGAAGAAGGCCUUCGGGUUGUAAAGCCCUUUUGUUGGGAAAGAAAAGCAGCAGGUUAAUACCUCGAUGUUCUGACGGUACCCAAAGAAUAAGCACCGGCUAACUUCGUG